CCUACGGGUGGCAGCAGUGGGGAAUAUUGGACAAUGGGCGAAAGCCUGAUCCAGCCAUGCCGCGUGUGUGAAGAAGGCCUUCGGGUUGUAAAGCACUUUCAGUGGGGAAGAAAGCCUUGGGGCUAAUACCCUCGAGGAAGGACAUCACCCACAGAAGAAGCACCGGCUAACUCCGUGCCAGCAGCCGCGGUAAUACGGAGGGUGCGAGCGUUAAUCGGAAUUACUGGGCGUAAAGCGCGCGUAGGCGGUCUGAUAAGCCGGUUGUGAAAGCCCCGGGCUCAACCUGGGAACGGCAUCCGGAACUGUUAGGCUAGAGUGCAGGAGAGGAAGGUAGAAUUCCCGGUGUAGCGGUGAAAUGCGUAGAGAUCGGGAGGAAUACCAGUGGCGAAGGCGGCCUUCUGGACUGACACUGACGCUGAGGUGCGAAAGCGUGGGUAGCAAACAGGAUUAGAUACCGAGUAGUC
RNAcentral lists this ribosomal RNA (464 nucleotides) under Vreelandella stevensii. RNAcentral's name for it is "partial 16S ribosomal RNA". It matches the Rfam family "Bacterial small subunit ribosomal RNA", at positions 338 to 795 of the family's 1533-position model. Lineage: Bacteria; Pseudomonadati; Pseudomonadota; Gammaproteobacteria; Oceanospirillales; Halomonadaceae. The record is from RNAcentral.